AUGAACCCCCAAACAAUGCCUCUCAUCACCCCCUCCAGAAGAAAGGACCGGCAUUCAGUUCGAGCGGCCUUCCCAGAAACAUACAACUGAUGCCGCUCUUUUUUAGUUGGAUCCAAGCUGGGAUAGGACCUGUGGACCGGCGGUGUAACCAGGAGUAAGGAAGGAAUAGCUGAUGUGGAAGACAUGCCUGGGACCGGAGGUGGGAAAGAUGGAUGGCAAAGAGAAACGCGACACAGAAGACAUCAUCUGGGUGGCUUCAGAGGUGAUGUGGUCCUUGGAGGCGUGUGCCAUGACGUUUUUGGAGACUAAAAACUACUCUUUGUUGCCAUAUGGAUCCAGCCUCAGGAAUGAAAAUUAAUCUUGUUGGAUUGUUGACGCGAUCCAGCAAGAUUCGUUUAUAUCAGACAAUGGGACACUGUUGUGCGUUGCUGUGUGUUUGUUUCAGAAUACAAAACAUGCAAUACAAAUAUGCUUUACAAAAAAGACGUAGGCCUCAAUAGAGCUCUUGAAUUGGUUGGUUACACAGCAGAAUAAUUAUGUUAAGUAUAGCCAGCCCUGUUUACAAAACACAUCCAAAUCAUGAUGUCCUUGUUACGUUAAAAAGGCGAGGGCGCCCUCUGCUGGUUCAGUCAAAAGGAAACGCUUCACUCCUAUGGUAGCCUUGAACUACCCACCAUAACAACGUGGUGCCGUUUCCAGAAAACAUUCCGAAAAGCUUCUUACCGAAUAUUCUCUGCCAUUAAAAGUGUUUUAUUGAUAGAUAGUAGUUGUGGUUGUUGUCUUUAUUGUAUUGUUUUAUUGUCAUCAUAAUAAAAAUGACAUGGUGUAUUAAAUACUUAAACAAAUAUUUGAAUAUAGAAACAGAAGGGUACACAGACACAGACACACAAACACACGCACGCACACACACGCACACACACACACACACACACACGCACACGCACACGCACACGCACACGCAUACGCACACACAAUCUUGUGGCCACUUCCCAAAAGGCACCGAGUGUUUGCAUAACUUAUAACCAGGCCCCUCCUGGCUCUAACUGCCGAACCGUCAAUGUUAAACAUUAACCAAGACUCACACAGAGUUCAACCUGAAACAGGACCUCAAACGUGCUCCGGGUAAAGAAACACUGCCCUUUUCCGAGUCUUAAGGAGUGUAAACGUUUUUUCAUCUUGUUAAAUUAUCUCCUGCUGAGUUAUAAGAAGUUGGCUUUACAAGCAGGCUCGUGAGGACGGGACCGCCACUGCCAACGAGGAGACAGAGAAGCAUAGUGCAGAAAAUAGGGGCAUGGAGGCCCCAGGCGCCGUGGUCCCCCCAGGGGACUGGAUUGAUGUUGUUGUGCAGCGCUUCCACACCGAGCCCUGGGCGCUGGCCGGGGCCGCGGUGAUCGCCGUGUUUGUGCUGGGGAUCCUCGCCCUGGCAGUGUUCGCCUUCCUCUUUGGAUGCUGCUGCACUCCCAAAGGGAAGCGCAAGAAGUCCAGGGACGCAGUGCUUUAGUUUAGACGUGUGUGUGUGUGUGUGUGUGUGUGUGUGUGUGUGUGUGUGUGUGUGUGUGUGCGUGUGUGCGUGCGUGCGUGCGUGCGUGCGUGCGUGCGUGCGUGCGUGCGUGCGUGCGUGCGUGCGUGCGUGUGUCUUUGUGAGGGUAUCUUUUUAUGUGUCUCAGUGUGUUUGUCUCUGUGUUUCGUGUAUGUCUGUGAGUCUGUGUGUGUGUGUGUGCGUGUGAGUGAGAGUUUGUGCGUGUGUGUAUGUGCGCGUGUGUGUGCGUGCGUGCGUUCGGCGUGCGUGUGUGUGUGUGAGUGUGGGUUUGUGCGUGUGUGUGUCUCAUUACCAAGAAAACUUGGUAUUGAGAGAGGAAAGAUGUUUGUUCCUUGUGUGUCCAUUUUUGUACAUGUUAUGAUUCCAGUGCAAUAGAUAGGCCCUUAUGGUAUACAUUAUACUUUAUUACAUGACAGAAAAAUGCUGCACAAGAAACACAGGCCGAAAUAAAGCUUUUGGUUACUGA
Molecule: long non-coding RNA, 2006 nt
Organism: Gadus macrocephalus (Pacific cod)
Lineage: Eukaryota; Metazoa; Chordata; Actinopteri; Gadiformes; Gadidae
Exons: 2
Source: RefSeq, a predicted model, not a curated record